RNAcentral lists this ribosomal RNA (253 nucleotides) under uncultured bacterium. Its description in RNAcentral is "partial 16S ribosomal RNA". It matches the Rfam family "Bacterial small subunit ribosomal RNA", at positions 524 to 776 of the family's 1533-position model. The record is from RNAcentral.
UACGUAGGGAGCAAGCGUUGUCCGGAAUCAUUGGGCGUAAAGAGCGUGUAGGCGGCCCGGUAAGUCGGUUGUGAAAACUAGAGGCUCAACCUCUAGACGUCGACCGAAACCAUCUGGCUAGAGUCCGGAAGAGGAGAGUGGAAUUCCUGGUGUAGCGGUGGAAUGCGCAGAUAUCAGGAAGAACACCCGUGGCGAAGGCGGCUCUCUGGGACGGUACUGACGCUGAGACGCGAAAGCGUGGGGAGCGAACAGG